UACGUAGGGUGCGAGCGUUAAUCGGAAUUACUGGGCGUAAAGCGUGCGCAGGUGGUCAUGUAAGACAGAUGUGAAAUCCCCGGGCUUAACCUGGGAAUUGCAUUUGUGACUGCAUGGCUAGAGUGUGGCAGAGGGGGAUGGAAUUCCGCGUGUAGCAGUGAAAUGCGUAGAUAUUGGGAGGAACACCGGUGGCGAAGGCGGCCCCCUGGACCGGUACUGACGCUGAGGCGCGAAAGCGUGGGUAGCAAACGGG
RNAcentral lists this ribosomal RNA (253 nucleotides) under uncultured bacterium. RNAcentral describes it as "partial 16S ribosomal RNA". It matches the Rfam family "Bacterial small subunit ribosomal RNA", at positions 524 to 776 of the family's 1533-position model. The record is from RNAcentral.